This 1034-nucleotide ribosomal RNA is filed under the name uncultured archaeon. RNAcentral's name for it is "bacterial SSU rRNA". It matches the Rfam family "Archaeal small subunit ribosomal RNA", at positions 36 to 981 of the family's 1478-position model. The record is from RNAcentral.
GAGUCCGACUAAGCCAUGUCGAGUCCAGGUGCUUCGGCACCGGCGGACGGCUCAGUAACACGUGGACAACCUACCCUCGGGAGGGGGAUAACCCCGGGAAACUGGGAAUAAACCCCCAUAGGUCAUGGAGGCUGGAAGGCGCCAUGACCGAAAUUCCGAAAGGAGCCCGAGGAUGGGUCUGCGGCCUAUCAGGUUGUAGUGGGGAUAACGGCCCCACUAGCCUACGACGGGUACGGGCCCUGAGAGGGGGAGCCCGGAGAUGGACUCUGAGACACGAGUCCAGGCCCUACGGGGCGCAGCAGGCGCGAAAACUCCGCAAUGCUCGAAAGAGCGACGGGGGGACUCCGAGUGCCUACGCUCUGCGUAGGCUUUUCCCGAGCCUACAAAGCUCGGGGAAUAAGGGCUGGGUAAGACGGGUGCCAUCUGUGACGGCAGUCAAAGAUCUGGCUUGCCGUUGCAAGGCAUAAGCCGCCGCGGUAAUACCCGCAGCUCGAGUGGUGGCCGCUAUUAUUGGGCCUAAAGCGUCCGUAGCCGGUCUGGUAAAUGCCUGGGUAAAUCGUAGGGCUUAACCCUACGGCUCCCAGGUAGACUGCCAGACUUGGGACCGGAGGAGGGAGAGGGUACUCCAGGGGUAGGGGUGAAAUCAGCAGAGCAUCACUCUGAUGAUGUGAAUUGCUCUGCAAGUCACAAUCCUGUAAUCCCUGGAGGACCACCGGUGGCGAAGGCGCUCUCCUAGGACGGGUCCGACGGUGAGGGACGAAAGCCAGGGGAGCAAACCGGAUUAGAUACCCGGGUAGUCCUGGCCGUAAACGAUGUGGGCUUGGUAUUGGGAUGGCUACGAGCUGUCCCAGUGUCGUAGGGAAGCCGUUAAGCCCACCGCCUGGGGAGUACGGUCGCAAGGCUGAAACUUAAAGGAAUUGGCGGGGGAGCACUGCAACGGGAGGAGCGUGCGGUUUAAUUGGAUUCAACGCCGGAAAGCUUACCGGGGGAGACUGCCGUAUGUGGGCCAGGCUGAAGACCUUGCCCGAACAAUA